RNAcentral lists this microRNA (23 nucleotides) under Haemonchus contortus (barber pole worm). RNAcentral's name for it is "hco-miR-84a". Its record names the gene hco-miR-84a. RNAcentral also lists the same sequence under 1 other name. Lineage: Eukaryota; Metazoa; Nematoda; Chromadorea; Rhabditida; Trichostrongylidae. The record is from miRBase by way of RNAcentral.
UGAGGUAGUUUUAAAUGUUAUGA